This is a long non-coding RNA of Lagenorhynchus albirostris (white-beaked dolphin), 1431 nucleotides long. RefSeq lists it as uncharacterized. The record is from RefSeq and is a predicted model, not a curated record. Lineage: Eukaryota; Metazoa; Chordata; Mammalia; Artiodactyla; Delphinidae. The transcript has 2 exons.
CAGGAAUGCCCAGCCCACGACGGAGCUCCGUGCUGCAUGGCUGGAGAAAAAGGAAGCACAGAGACCACAACAGGAAGAAGUGCCAACUUGCUGGAAUUGUCCAGACCACCAGCCAGAGCCUGGGUCAGCGCCUGCCUUUCACAGAUGGGGAGAAAAUGGCCCAGAGAGGGAAUCAAUUUGCCUAAACUUACAUUCUGGGGAUUACAAGAGAAAGCUGGUGGGAGAGCUGGCUCUAAACUCUCGUCAACUAAUACCGAUGUUUAUUUCUGAGUAAACGUCAAUUUAGCCUUGGAAUCCUAAGACCUUAUGUCAAAAGAACUUUAAGGGACCUUGGCCGUCCAGGGUGCCCAUGUGCCAGGUCUGGACAACAAUGUGGGAAUAAGGGGUCAGAAUGGACCUGCCCUCAGGGGACUUACAGUCUUGCUUAGUAAGUGACUAAAGAUACUAAAACAGCUGGAAGACAACUGUCCCCUGGCAAACAGAUUGAAGGCUGUUAGGAAUCUCGGGAAAUGGAAGUUUGAGAAGAAGAGUACUGUCUGAGCCAGGAAGGUCUCACAGACAGGUUUAUUUGGCAAAGGACUUAAGAAAACAAAAUCUUGCACGUGUCCACAUUCUGGGCGGUGGUCCUUCCCAAGCCCUUAAAAAACCUUAGCCUAGAACAAUCUUCUUCCCCCCAGUGGCUUCACAGUGCAUCUGAUUCCUAACCCCAGUGACUUCGAGGAACCCAAUGUGGGAAGAUAAACCUGGUCUCGGACUGGCUUGGUGACUCAGAGGAGUGUCAGAUAAAGAUGACCCCAAGACUCUCAUAGAACAUGUGCCCAACCCCCAGUGAGCUGGACUCCAGGGAACGCUUGGGCCAGCCUCAGACAAUACUGGGAACUGUGCACUUUUGAACCCACUCAGCCCUUCAGUGAGGCCUGCGGAUGGCCUGGGGCCAGAUGGGCAGAGAGGCACCUCUGCUGGAGCAAUCUGAAGAGGUGUGAUGGGCACGUUCCCAUUACCUGGGUUCACAGCUCUGAGUCUUCCCAGGUUGCAGCUGCAACCUGAGAAUGAAAAAUGACCAAGACUCAUCUUCUCAUGGGUCGGGCCAGUAGAGAUGUUACGAAUCCCAGAGCAGGCCUGUAAAUGUGUCUGUUUAUUUUUCCUGAAGCCAGUGAAAGACCAUCUUGAUGCCGCCACUCUUCAAAAUUUAGAAACCACAGAAGACAUUUUGAGUUACAUUAUUACUUUAUUUUCCUUUUUUUAAAUGUAGCAUUAAAGUCAUCCAACAUACAGAUAUUCCUACGGCUCCUUACACAUUUUAUUCUAUCUAAAGUUAAGUAUUUUAGCUAUGAGAUGACAAAAAUCAUCCCACUAAAAUGGCAACACUUUUGAAAAAUGGGUUUCAUAUUUACUGAUGAGAAAUCGACUCCCCAUCUACCCCCACAAAAA